Molecule: small nuclear RNA, 107 nt
Organism: Chlorocebus sabaeus (green monkey)
Lineage: Eukaryota; Metazoa; Chordata; Mammalia; Primates; Cercopithecidae
Source: Ensembl
GUGCUCACUUUGGCAGCACAUAUACUAAAAUUGGAAUGAUACAGAGAAGAUUAGCAUGGCCUCUGUGGAAAGAUAACAUGCAAAUUCAUGAAGCAUUCUGUAUUUUU